UGCCGGGUCGUCUAAUGGUAGGACAAUAGAUUCUGGAUCUAUUUAUCUAGGUUCGAGUCCUAGCCCGGCAG
This 71-nucleotide transfer RNA is filed under the name Candidatus Staskawiczbacteria bacterium RIFCSPLOWO2_01_FULL_33_9. Its description in RNAcentral is "tRNA-Gln". It matches the Rfam family "tRNA". Rfam says of the family: Transfer RNA (tRNA) molecules are approximately 80 nucleotides in length. Their secondary structure includes four short double-helical elements and three loops (D, anti-codon, and T loops). Further hydrogen bonds mediate the characteristic L-shaped molecular structure. tRNAs have two regions of fundamental functional importance: the anti-codon, which is responsible for specific mRNA codon recognition, and the 3' end, to which the tRNAs corresponding amino acid is attached (by aminoacyl-tRNA synthetases). tRNAs cope with the degeneracy of the genetic code in two manners: having more than one tRNA (with a specific anti-codon) for a particular amino acid; and 'wobble' base-pairing, i.e. permitting non-standard base-pairing at the 3rd anti-codon position. Lineage: Bacteria; Candidatus Staskawicziibacteriota. The record is from RNAcentral.